RNAcentral lists this ribosomal RNA (522 nucleotides) under Cypridinodes sp. 34 HTP-2019. Its description in RNAcentral is "partial large subunit ribosomal RNA". It matches the Rfam family "Archaeal large subunit ribosomal RNA", at positions 1897 to 2677 of the family's 2987-position model. Lineage: Eukaryota; Metazoa; Arthropoda; Ostracoda; Myodocopida; Cypridinidae. The record is from RNAcentral.
UAACAAAAACAUUUUCUUUUAAGUAAAAGGUAAAGCCUGCCCGGUGUAAUAAUAAACGGCUGCGGUAUUCUGACCGUACGAAGGUAGCAUAAUAAAUAGUCUUUUAAUUGGGGACUGGAAUGAAAGGUUUAAUCAGGAAUUUGCUUUUUUAUAAUUAAAAAUAUAAAUUAAUUAAUAAGUUAAAAGGCUUAUGUAUUUUAAAGUGACAAGAAGACCCUAAGAGUUUGACAAAUGAUAUAGAAGUGAAUAGCUAGUUAGAAGUGAGGCAGGUUUGAUAAAGUUUGUUUGACUGGGGCGGUGAAAAUAUUAUCUAUUUUGUUAAGGACAUUAAUAAAGGGAGUAGAUUUAGUAAUAUCCUAAUUGGAAAUCAAGAUAAAUUACCUUAGGGAUAACAGCAUAAUCUUUUUUGAGAGACCAUAUUGACAGAAAGGUUUGUGACCUCGAUGUUGGAUUUGAAUAACUUUUUGGAGCAGCAUUUAUAAAAGUUGGUCUGUUCGACCAUUAAAUUUCAACAUGAUUUGA